CCUACGGGUGGCAGCAGUGAGGAAUAUUGGUCAAUGGACGAGAGUCUGAACCAGCCAAGUAGCGUGAAGGAUGACUGCCCUAUGGGUUGUAAACUUCUUUUAUAUGGGAAUAAAAUGUUCCACGUGUGGGAUUUUGUAUGUACCAUAUGAAUAAGGAUCGGCUAACUCCGUGCCAGCAGCCGCGGUAAUACGGAGGAUCCGAGCGUUAUCCGGAUUUAUUGGGUUUAAAGGGAGCGUAGGUGGAUUGUUAAGUCAGUUGUGAAAGUUUGCGGCUCAACCGUAAAAUUGCAGUUGAAACUGGCAGUCUUGAGUACAGUAGAGGUGGGCGGAAUUCGUGGUGUAGCGGUGAAAUGCUUAGAUAUCACGAAAAACUCCGAUUGCGAAGGCAGUUCACUGGACUGCAACUGACACUGAGGCUCGAAAGUGUGGGUAUCAAACAGGAUUAGAUACCCGAGUAGUC
RNAcentral lists this ribosomal RNA (460 nucleotides) under uncultured bacterium. RNAcentral's name for it is "partial 16S ribosomal RNA". It matches the Rfam family "Bacterial small subunit ribosomal RNA", at positions 338 to 795 of the family's 1533-position model. The record is from RNAcentral.